Molecule: long non-coding RNA, 1202 nt
Organism: Vombatus ursinus (common wombat)
Lineage: Eukaryota; Metazoa; Chordata; Mammalia; Diprotodontia; Vombatidae
Exons: 4
Source: RefSeq, a predicted model, not a curated record
CAGAGAUGUUUCCCCGUGCUCAAUUUUGCUAGCUAGCUCUGUGCAGGGCAGGAGUGACAGGCAUAUUGAGAAUGUAGGUUCUACCUUGGGCAUCAUCUCUACUGCAUUGAAGAGGGCUGCAUUUGGAGUUGGAAAACUUGGAUUCCGAUCACUGGAGCUGCUGCUGGAUGUUGGAAUCUUGCCUAAGAAUCUUUUCAGCUCCCAAGAGCUGAAUGAAGAGAGAAAGAAAGAAAGAGAAAGAAAGAAAAAGAAAAUGAAGGAAGGAAAAAAAGAAUUGCCAUCUCUUUUGCAGAGAAUAUCUACUAGAUUGAAAUUCUUUCUGUUGGCAGAAAAUAUAUCCAAGAAGAUUCAGAGAAGGUUCCGGCGUGUAUGGAAUGGAGAGACUCAGCCCUGGAAAUUUUGAAUAAUUACACACUGCUGCCCCAGGAAGAAUCUUGGUGGAUUGAGAGACAAUGGACAAAGACAUCAAGAUACUCUUCUGACUGGAGCUAGGGGAAAUACUCCUUCAGGAGAAGUCUUCAGACAAAGUUUGGGUGACUGCUUGAUGGGGAUGGAGUUGAGAGAAUUAUUCAGAUACAGAUUGGACUAGAUGUCUUCCGAGGUCUGUACUAGUUCCUGAGAUUCUAGCACCAAAAGCAUCGGUACCUUUGGGAGGUAAGAUGUUAUAGUGGAAAGUGUUUUGGGAUUUGGAGUCUUGGGUUUAAAUUUUAGCUCUGAUUCUUAUGAACCCUAUGCUGAGUCAUUUAACCUCAGAACCCUAGUUUCUUUCUAGUAUCCAUCCUAGAGCUCACAAGACUCAGAUGAAAUGGGAAACACCAAUUCUAUUCCUUCAUUUGACAUAGAGGCCCACCAUACCUUCCCACUUCCCCUGCCACUGCUUCCUAAGGUUUUCUAUGCCUUACUAUCUAUCCUACCUCCACUUACUACAGACACCUAGUAUUGUCAUAUGACCUACCGAUUUAACCUAAGGACUCCUGGGCUUUUCCAUGUACUCUACAGAUGAACUUUGUUUUAUAUGUUAUCUCCCCUAGAAUAGGAAUUUCCUAAGACCAGGGACUGUCUGAUUUUAUUCUUAUAUUCUUGGUACUUAGCUAAGUGUUUGGAACAUAUUAAGUAAGCUCUUAACAAAGGCAUUUUCUACCUAUCAGAUUUAUGGAGAAGAGAAGAAUUUAUGGCCAAACAAGAGUAGAGAACAUUAUGAA